This is a long non-coding RNA of Aethina tumida (small hive beetle), 506 nucleotides long. RefSeq lists it as uncharacterized. The record is from RefSeq and is a predicted model, not a curated record. NCBI's taxonomy places the organism in Eukaryota, Metazoa, Arthropoda, Insecta, Coleoptera, Nitidulidae. The transcript has 3 exons.
CCGGCAAAUAAAAAACAUUCUGUAAUGCACGUGAAGUAAACUCCUGCUAUUUUUAUAACGUCUUGUGACGUGGUCUGUAAAACGGAAGUUACUGUAGGCGUACGGCGCUGUGCGUCGUAGAAAACUGUACGUCGUGCUAGAUUUGACGUCUAGUUGACGUGGGGAGUUGUAGAGGGCGAGACGAAUUUGUGUGACUGUCGGACGCUCAUAAUUUGAAAAUGUGGGACUUGACCGGACUUUUCAACAUUAAAAUAAUAAUGUUGCUUUUGUUGGGGUGCUUCUUCGUGGGGUUUGUAGCGUUCUGCGUCAUAUGCUUUAGAGAUGUUUUCUGGAUUAUCCGGGGCAGCUACAAUGACAUUUGUGAAGCAUUAACAAUGGAUCCUGCCACAUUAAAAGAGGACAAGAAGGAAAAGAGUGGACGUGAAAAGAAGCUCCAAUAAAAUGUCAUUUAUUUAAAUUGUGUAGUUUAAUCUGUUGGGUUAUAAUAAAUAAUUAAUUAGUAACUA